AGGGGUAGCAAAGAGGAUUAGAUACCCUCGUAGUCCAUACCAUAAACGAUGAUUGCUAGAUGUUGGAAAUUUAUCUUCAGUAUAGCAGCUAACGCAUUAAGCAAUGCGCCUGGGGAGUACGACCGCAAGGUUAAAACUCAAAUGAAUUGACGGGGAGCCGCACAAGCGGUGGAGCAUGUGGUUUAAUUUGAAGAUACGCGCAGAACCUUACCAACCCUUGUCAUGUCUGUCGUGAGUUUAGGAAACUAGUCUUUUUGUUUUGGCCGGACAGAACACCGGUGGUGCCAGGGUGUUGUCAGGUUGUGUUGUGAGAAGUUGGGUUAAGUUCCGCAACGAGCGCCACCCCUUAUUUUAGUUGCCCUCCGGUCAUGCUGGCCAUUUAGAAAGAACUGCCAGUGUUAACCUGGAGGAAGGUGGGGAGGACGUCAAGUCUUCAUGGCCCUUACGGGUUGGGCUACACACGUGCUCCAAUGGUAGUGACAAUGAGAUGCAAGGUGGGGACGCUAAGUUAAAUUCAAAAAUCUACCUCAGUUCGGAUUGCACUCUGCAACUCGAGUGCAUGAAGCUGGAAUCGCUAGUAAUCGUAGAUCAGCGUGCUACGGUGAAUACGUUCCCGGGUCUUGUACACACCGCCCGUCACACCAUGGAAGUUGGUUACACCUUAAAGCAGAUUGGUAACCGCAAGGAGGCGUCUGACCAAGGUAUAGUCAGCGACUGGGGUG
This 722-nucleotide ribosomal RNA is filed under the name uncultured bacterium. RNAcentral's name for it is "bacterial SSU rRNA". It matches the Rfam family "Bacterial small subunit ribosomal RNA", at positions 761 to 1482 of the family's 1533-position model. The record is from RNAcentral.